This 1366-nucleotide ribosomal RNA is filed under the name metagenome. RNAcentral describes it as "SSU rRNA". It matches the Rfam family "Eukaryotic small subunit ribosomal RNA", at positions 1 to 1371 of the family's 1831-position model. The record is from RNAcentral.
UCUGGUUGAUCCUGCCAGUAGCAUAUGCUUGUCUCAAAGAUUAAGCCAUGCAUGUCUAAGUACAAGCCGAAAUAAGGUGAAACCGCGAAUGGCUCAUUAAAUCACACCUAAUCUACUGGAAUGUUAGUGGUUACUUGGAUAACUGAGGUAAUUCUUGAGCUAAUACAUGCGAAAAAUCUCGACUCACGGAGAGAUGCUUUUAUUAGAUCGAAACCAAACGGCUUCGGCUGUUUAACUUUGAUGACUCUGAAUAACUUUGGGCUGAUUGUAUUGCCUUGUGCAGACAACGUUUCCUUCGAAGGUGUGCCCUAUCAACUGUCGACUGUGAUAUAGACGCUCACAGUGGUUUUGACGGGUAACGGGGAAUCAGGGUUCGAUUCCGGAGAGGGAGCCUUAAAAACGGCUACCACAUCCAAGGAAGGCAGCAGGCACGCAAAUUACCCAAUGGUCGAAGACCGAGGUAGUGACGAAAAAUAACAAUACAAGACUCUUCCGAGGCCUUGUAAUUGGAAUGAGUACGCUUUAAAACCGUUCCCGAGGAUCUAUUGGAGGGCAAGUCUGGUGCCAGCAGCCGCGGUAAUUCCAGCUCCAAUAGCGUAUAUUAAAGUUGUUGUGGUUAAAAAGCUCGUAGUUGGAUUUCGGCGGGUAGUGGUCGGUUUGAAUUGCUUCAACACUGGCUUUUUUACCCGUGUGUUUUGCAGAAUUUAACGGGUGAUCUUCGCCGAUUGUCCGUUAGAACUGGCAGGUUUACUUUGAGAAAAUUAGAGUGCUCAAAGCAAGCUUGAUUGCUUGAAUAUUCGUGCAUGGAAUAAUAGAAUAGGAAGUCGUUUCUAUUUUGUUAGUUUUCGGAAAUCGACUUAAUGAUUAAUAGGGAUAGUCGGGGGCAUUUGUAUUCAAACGACAGAGGUGAAAUUCUUGUACCGUUUGAAGACAAACUACUGCGAAAGCAUUUGCCAAGAAUGUUUUCAUUAAUCAAGAACGAAAGUUAGAGGUUCGAAGGCGAUUAGAUACCGCCCUAGUUCUAACCAUAAACGAUGCCAGCUAGCGAUCUGCCGGUGCUUGAUUUUCUGGCCCGGCAGGCAGCUUCCGGGAAACCAAAGCUUGUGGGUUCCAGGGGAAGUAUGGUUGCAAAGCUGAAACUUAAAGGAAUUGACGGAAGGGCACCACCAGGAGUGGAGCCUGUGGCUUAAUUUGACAACACGGGAAAUCUCACCAGGCCCGGACACCAGAAGGAUUGACAGAUUGAUAGCUCUUUCUUGAUUUGGUGGGUGGUGGUGCAUGGCCGUUCUUAGUUGGUGGAGUGAUUUGUCUGGUUAAUUCCGAUAACGAACGAGACUCUGUCCUGUUAAAUAGAUCCAACCUAGUC